Long non-coding RNA from Harmonia axyridis, 541 nucleotides. RefSeq lists it as uncharacterized. Lineage: Eukaryota; Metazoa; Arthropoda; Insecta; Coleoptera; Coccinellidae. The record is from RefSeq and is a predicted model, not a curated record. The transcript is spliced from 2 exons.
AAACCAGGGGGGUGAAACUCGUAGUACUAAAUUGGAAACAAAUAUUCUAUGCGCCUACCUAACAGAGAAUGAAAGAGAUAGAAGAUGUAUGGUUAUCUCUGUCGCUCAUGACAAGAAGGAUAAUGUUCCAAAAUCCAAAUUGACAUUCGACAGUUGCAGUUAUAACCAAACAUUUUCGGAUAGUAGUAUUGAAAAAUAUUCAACAUUCGUUGAAAAAAAAAAUUUUAUCCGUUAAGACUGAUAUUAGAUAUUAUGUUAAUUUAUUUUUUGUUUGAAAAACCAACAUUUUUAUUAUUUAUCUUUGUCUGCACAACUUUUGGUCUAGUCUAAGGAUUGAAAUGAGUGCCUCAAAUCUUCGAUGGACGACUCCAUUGGUUAUGUACAUCCUAAAAUGGCUGUUUGAUUACUAUAUCAUCAAUUUUUAACAGAAUUAUAAAUGAUUGAAUGAAUUUGACCGGUAAAGGUCAAUAAUUAAUCAUGGAAAACCCAUUUAUUAGUUGCCGACGUGAAGCCAACAUACUUUAAAAUCCCAUAUAUCGCA